GAUGAACGCUGGCUACAGGCUUAACACAUGCAAGUCGUGGGGAAACGGCAUUAUGUGCUUGCACAUUCUGGACGUCGACCGGCGCACGGGUGAGUAUCGCGUAUCCAACCUGCCCCUUACUUGGGGAUACCCCGUUGAAAGACGGCCUAAUACCCGAUGUGUUUCAUUGACGGCAUCCGAUAUGAAACAAAGGUUUUCCGGUAAGGGAUGGGGAUGCGUCUGAUUAGCUUGUUGGCGGGGCAACGGCCCACCAAGGCGACGAUCAGUAGGGGUUCUGAGAGGAAGGUCCCCCACAUUGGAACUGAGACACGGUCCGAACUCCUACGGGAGGCAGCAGUGAGGAAUAUUGGUCAAUGGACGCAAGUCUGAACCAGCCAAGUAGCGUGCAGGAUGACGGCCCUAUGGGUUGUAAACUGCUUUUAUGUGGGAAUAAAGUGGCGCACGUGUGCGCCAUUGCAUGUACCUCAUGAAUAAGGACCGGCUAAUUCCGUGCCAGCAGCCGCGGUAAUACGGAAGGUCCGGGCGUUAUCCGGAUUUAUUGGGUUUAAAGGGAGUGUAGGCGGUCUGUUAAGCGUGUUGUGAAAUUUAGGUGCUCAACAUUUAACUUGCAGCGCGAACUGUCAGACUUGAGUACACGCAGCGCAGGCGGAAUUCAUGGUGUAGCGGUGAAAUGCUUAGAUAUCAUGAGGAACUCCGAUCGCGAAGGCAGCCUGCGGGAGUGUUACUGACGCUUAAGCUCGAAGGUGCGGGUAUCGAACAGG
Molecule: ribosomal RNA, 761 nt
Filed under: Prevotella nigrescens
Lineage: Bacteria; Pseudomonadati; Bacteroidota; Bacteroidia; Bacteroidales; Prevotellaceae
Description: bacterial SSU rRNA
Rfam family: Bacterial small subunit ribosomal RNA
Source: RNAcentral